GAUGAACGCUGGCGGCGUGCCUAAUACAUGCAAGUCGAGCGAACAGACGAGGAGCUAGCUCCUCUGACGUUAGCGGCGGACGGGUGAGUAACACGUGGAUAACCUACCUAUAAGACUGGGAUAACUUCGGGAAACCGGAGCUAAUACCGGAUAACAUGUUGAACCGCAUGGUUCAACAGUGAAAGACGGUCUUGCUGUCACUUAUAGAUGGAUCCGCGCCGCAUUAGCUAGUUGGUAAGGUAACGGCUUACCAAGGCAACGAUGCGUAGCCGACCUGAGAGGGUGAUCGGCCACACUGGAACUGAGACACGGUCCAGACUCCUACGGGAGGCAGCAGUAGGGAAUCUUCCGCAAUGGGCGAAAUCCUGACGGAGCAACGCCGCGUGAGUGAAGAAGGUCUUCGGAUCGUAAAACUCUGUUAUUAGGGAAGAACAAAUGUGUAAGUAACUAUGCACGUCUUGACGGUACCUAAUCAGAAAGCCACGGCUAACUACGUG
This 497-nucleotide ribosomal RNA is filed under the name uncultured bacterium. RNAcentral's name for it is "partial 16S ribosomal RNA". It matches the Rfam family "Bacterial small subunit ribosomal RNA", at positions 28 to 507 of the family's 1533-position model. The record is from RNAcentral.